This is a non-coding RNA of Heterocephalus glaber (naked mole-rat), 313 nucleotides long. The record is from Rfam. NCBI's taxonomy places the organism in Eukaryota, Metazoa, Chordata, Mammalia, Rodentia, Bathyergidae.
GGAUGGGAGGGCGAUCUGCCUGCGGCAUCUGUCACCCCAUUGAGCGGCAGGGUUGAUUCUGCUCGUCUGGCAGGUUGGUUGGGUGGGUGUCUCACCGUUCCAUGUGCGUCACCGUUUCAUGUGCGUCCCUCCCGAAGCUUUGCACUUCGUGAAAGAGGAUGACCCUCCCCAAUAGAGGAGAACCAUCUCCUCAGCCAAGGUUAUACAAGUAGCUGCCCUCCCCUGCUAGAACCUCCAAACAAAUAUAACAAUAUACUGUAAUAAAACUUCCAUGAAUAUAGUCUCUUCCUGAAAACAUCUUAUUGUAUUUUCA